Molecule: ribosomal RNA, 502 nt
Filed under: uncultured bacterium
Lineage: Bacteria
Description: partial 16S ribosomal RNA
Rfam family: Bacterial small subunit ribosomal RNA
Source: RNAcentral
ACUCAAAUGAAUAGACGGGGGCCCGCACAAGCGGUGGAGCAUGUGGUUUAAUUCGACGCAACGCGAAGAACCUUACCAGCUCUUGACAUGUCCCGUACGGGCCGGGGAGACCCGGUUCAUCGGUUCGGCCGGCGGGAACACAGGUGCUGCAUGGCUGUCGUCAGCUCGUGUCGUGAGAUGUUGGGUUAAGUCCCGCAACGAGCGCAACCCCCAUCCGCAGUUGCCAGCGAGUUAAGUCGGGCACUCUGCGGAAACUGCCGGUGACAAGCCGGAGGAAGGCGGGGAUGACGUCAAGUCCUCAUGGCCCUUAUGGGCUGGGCUACACACGUGCUACAAUGGCGGUGACAGAGGGGAGCAAGGGUGCGAGCCCGAGCCAAUCUCAAAAAACCGUCUCAGUUCGGAUUGCUCUCUGCAACUCGAGAGCAUGAAGUCGGAAUCGCUAGUAAUCGCGGAUCAGCACGCCGCGGUGAAUACGUUCCCGGGCCUUGUACACACCGCCCGU